Molecule: ribosomal RNA, 434 nt
Filed under: uncultured Lachnospiraceae bacterium
Lineage: Bacteria; Bacillati; Bacillota; Clostridia; Lachnospirales; Lachnospiraceae
Description: partial 16S ribosomal RNA
Rfam family: Bacterial small subunit ribosomal RNA
Source: RNAcentral
ACGGAAGGCAGCAGUGGGGAAUAUUGCACAAUGGGCGAAAGCCUGAUGCAGCGACGCCGCGUGAGUGAAGAAGUAUCUCGGUAUGUAAAGCUCUAUCAGCAGGGAAGAAAAUGACGGUACCUGACUAAGAAGCCCCGGCUAACUACGUGCCGGCAGCCGCGGUAAUACGUAGGGGGCAAGCGUUAUCCGGAUUUACUGGGUGUAAAGGGAGCGUAGACGGUUUGGCAAGUCUGAAGUGAAAUGCGGGGGCUCAACUCCUGAACUGCUUUGGAAACUGUCGAACUAGAGUGCAGGAGAGGUAAGUGGAAUUCCUAGUGUAGCGGUGAAAUGCGUAGAUAUUAGGAGGAACACCAGUGGCGAAGGCGGCUUACUGGACUGUAACUGACGUUGAGGCUCGAAAGCGUGGGGAGCAAACAGGAUUAGAUACCCUGGUA